ACAGUGAGUUUCAAAAAAAAAAAAAUCAAAAGGAAAAGACAAAAACUUUCAAGUUAGUCUUUUAGGACCUGUUCUUAAGAACACCAUGCCCAAGGUAAGCUCACCUCAUCCUGUCCCCAGCCUGGAUGGAAGUGGUCUGCAUGAGGUCCCCUGAACCCACUUCCUGCCGCCAGCCAGAUCUUCUGGUUGGGGUGAACGCAAGGACAGACAAUUUCUCCUUGAUCUCACUCAAUGGCACCGUGGACCCGGAGGUGCCCAGUCACGCGUGGCCGUCCUCAGCACUGUCCCCUCCCCUCAGGACAGACUCUGCACUUGGCUGUCCUGAGGAUCCAGAGGAGGCCUGAGCCUGGCCUGAGCCUGGCCUCACCUGGGGGCCCUGCAGCGACCUCGUUGUCUGGCCCAGCCCGGGAGCUUGGCGUCGGAGGCGUCCCAGCGGCCUCCACGGUGGGCUGAGUGGUCACCCAGGAGCAUCCACCCUGCGGCCGUGCUGCCGGGGAAGCUGAGCUGGAGAGAGCGAGGCCGCAGUCCCCUGCCUGUGCCUGUCCCCGGCAGCACCGUACGCCGUUCCUGUUUCCUGUGUCCAGCGCCUUUCCCAUGUCUCGCCCGCGGACAGCCUGUUCCCCAGUCUUCCGGAGAAAGGUGCAGUUUGAGACAGGGUCUUG
Molecule: long non-coding RNA, 662 nt
Organism: Fukomys damarensis (Damara mole-rat)
Lineage: Eukaryota; Metazoa; Chordata; Mammalia; Rodentia; Bathyergidae
Exons: 3
Source: RefSeq, a predicted model, not a curated record